Molecule: ribosomal RNA, 253 nt
Filed under: uncultured bacterium
Lineage: Bacteria
Description: partial 16S ribosomal RNA
Rfam family: Bacterial small subunit ribosomal RNA
Source: RNAcentral
UACGUAGGGUGCGAGCGUUAAUCGGAAUUACUGGGCGUAAAGCGUGCGCAGGCGGCGCGUUAAGACAGGUGUGAAAGCCCCGAGCUUAACUUGGGAAUUGCGCUUGUGACUGGCGUGCUGGAGUGUGGCAGAGGGAGGUGGAAUUCCACGUGUAGCGGUGAAAUGCGUAGAUAUGUGGAGGAACACCGAUGGCGAAGGCGGCAUCCUGGACCAUAACUGACGCUGAGGCGCGAAAGCUAGGGGAGCAAACGGG